UAGGGAAUCUUCGGCAAUGGGGGCAACCCUGACCGAGCAACGCCGCGUGAGUGAAGAAGGUUUUCGGAUCGUAAAGCUCUGUUGUAAGAGAAGAACGUGUGUGAGAGUGGAAAGUUCACACAGUGACGGUAACUUACCAGAAGGGGACGGCUAACUACGUGCCAGCAGCCGCGGUAAUACGUAGGUCCCGAGCGUUGUCCGGAUUUAUUGGGCGUAAAGCGAGCGCAGGCGGUUUAAUAAGUCUGAAGUUAAAGGCAGUGGCUUAACCAUUGUUCGCUUUGGAAACUGUUAAACUUGAGUGCAGAAGGGGAGAGUGGAAUUCCAUGUGUAGCGGUGAAAUGCGUAGAUAUAUGGAGGAACACCGGUGGCGAAAGCGGCUCUCUGGUCUGUAACUGACGCUGAGGCUCGAAAGCGUGGGGAGCAAACAGG
RNAcentral lists this ribosomal RNA (429 nucleotides) under bacterium. Its description in RNAcentral is "partial 16S ribosomal RNA". It matches the Rfam family "Bacterial small subunit ribosomal RNA", at positions 355 to 776 of the family's 1533-position model. The record is from RNAcentral.